This 230-nucleotide ribosomal RNA is filed under the name uncultured bacterium. Its description in RNAcentral is "partial 16S ribosomal RNA". It matches the Rfam family "Bacterial small subunit ribosomal RNA", at positions 68 to 305 of the family's 1533-position model. The record is from RNAcentral.
GGUAACAGAGGAGCUUGCUCCUGCUGACGAGCGGCGAACUGGUGAGUAACGCGUAGUUAUCUGCCUUAUAGACUGGGAUAGCCGUUGGAAACAGCGAUUAAUACCGGAUACAGCCUACGGGUGAAAGGCGCGUUUUGCGUCACUGUGAGAUGAGAUUGCGUCCUAUUAGCUAGAUGGCGGGGUAAGAGCCCACCAUGGCGACGAUAGGUAGCCGGCCUGAGAGGGUGAAC